This 490-nucleotide ribosomal RNA is filed under the name uncultured bacterium. RNAcentral describes it as "partial 16S ribosomal RNA". It matches the Rfam family "Bacterial small subunit ribosomal RNA", at positions 30 to 507 of the family's 1533-position model. The record is from RNAcentral.
AUUGAACGCUGGCGGCAGGCCUAACACAUGCGAGUCGAACGGUAACAGGAAGCAGCUUGCUGCUUCGCUGACGAGUGGCGGGCGGGUGAGUAAUGUCUGGGAAGCUGCCUGAUGGAGGGGGAUAACUACUGGAAACGGUAGCUAAUACCGCAUAAUGUCGCAAGACCAAAGAGGGGGACCUUCGGGCCUCUUGCCAUCGUAUGUGCCCAGAUGGGAUUAGCUUGUUGGUGGGGUAACGGCUCACCAAGGCGACGAUCCCUAGCUGGUCUGAGAGGAUGACCAGCCACACUGGGACUGAGACACGGUCCAGACUCCUACGGGAGGCAGCAGUGGGGAAUAUUGCACAAUGGGCGCAAGCCUGAUGCAGCCAUGCCGCGUGUAUGAAGAAGGCCUUCGGGUUGUAAAGUACUUUCAGCGGGGAGGAAGGGAGUAAAGUUAAUACCUUUGCUCAUUGACGUUACCCGAAGAAGAAGCACCGGCUAACUCCGUG